RNAcentral lists this transfer RNA (85 nucleotides) under Candidatus Woesebacteria bacterium RIFCSPHIGHO2_01_FULL_39_28. RNAcentral's name for it is "tRNA-Leu". It matches the Rfam family "tRNA". From Rfam's summary of the family: Transfer RNA (tRNA) molecules are approximately 80 nucleotides in length. The record is from RNAcentral. Lineage: Bacteria; Candidatus Woeseibacteriota. RNAcentral also lists the same sequence under 2 other names.
GCCCUCGUGGCGAAACUGGUAGACGCGCAUGGUUUAGGACCAUGUCCCGCAAGGGGUAGGGGUUCAAAUCCUCUCGAGGGCACAA